Molecule: ribosomal RNA, 253 nt
Filed under: uncultured bacterium
Lineage: Bacteria
Description: partial 16S ribosomal RNA
Rfam family: Bacterial small subunit ribosomal RNA
Source: RNAcentral
UACGUAGGGUGCAAGCGUUAAUCGGAAUUACUGGGCGUAAAGCGUGCGCAGGCGGUUGUGCAAGACAGAUGUGAAAUCCCCGGGCUUAACCUGGGAACUGCAUUUGUGACUGCACGGCUAGAGUACGGCAGAGGGGGAUGGAAUUCCGCGUGUAGCAGUGAAAUGCGUAGAUAUGCGGAGGAACAUCAAUGGCGAAGGCAGUCCCCUGGGCCUGUACUGACGCUCAUGCACGAAAGCGUGGGGAGCAAACAGG